Brienomyrus brachyistius is the source of this 688-nucleotide long non-coding RNA. RefSeq lists it as uncharacterized. The record is from RefSeq and is a predicted model, not a curated record. NCBI's taxonomy places the organism in Eukaryota, Metazoa, Chordata, Actinopteri, Osteoglossiformes, Mormyridae. The transcript has 2 exons.
AGGAAAAUAAUAUCACGCAGGUCUACAUGUACAGUAUGAAGUACAACUUGUUUUUCGAAACGUCAGUAUAAAUGUCAAUAUUAACCUUAUGCGAUAAAACUGCAGUUACAGAUAUGUAAUAAAUAUUAAAAUAACGACCCUUCAAGUUCGACGUCAGCAUUACAAUAAAACGCAAAUUUCAUGUUACGUACACCCAAUGUAAACUCCAUUACAAUAAUUCCCCCUGUCGCUGGGGAAAUAUAAUCCUACAUUUUAUACGUACUACAAAAAUCCAACUUUAUGCUUCUGAAACACAUUAAUGUUACACACCAUGUAUUGGUACAAGUAAAGAGCAACACGCGUUUACCUCGCUUAUCCAUAGUAAGGGCGUCGGGCACCGGCAUUGGACAGUCGAAGAGAUUUCCGAUUACAGAGCUUCCGCCUAUUCUUGUAAAGAAAUAUGGCGAGAAUUGGAAUGACUUUCGACUAUAUAUGCCAAGUAGCAGUAAUAAUGCAUUGUUAGUGGUCCACGCAGCAUUAGCAGCAGGAUUGCUCCCACAGCUGGCUGGUUGAGGUGAUGUGCAGGAGCAGACCUGACCUUUCUAUGCUCUGAGGAGGAUACCAUACUACCCACCAACUCUCCUACCUGCUGUUUUUAAAUGCAAAUUUUAUACAUUUUGUAUUGCUCUAAUAAAACUUGUGCUUGUAA